Molecule: long non-coding RNA, 1835 nt
Organism: Phascolarctos cinereus (koala)
Lineage: Eukaryota; Metazoa; Chordata; Mammalia; Diprotodontia; Phascolarctidae
Source: Ensembl
UGAGUUCAAAUCCAGCCUCAAACAUUUACUAGCUAGGUGACUUUGAACAAGUCACUGAAUAUGUUUGCCUCAGUUUCUUCUAGUUUAAAAUAGGGAUAAAAAUAGCACCUUUUCCCUAGGGUUGUUGUAAGGAUAAAAUGUGAUAAUAUUUGUAAAGCACUUAGCAGAAUGCCUGGCACAUAAUAGGGCUACAUAAAUACUUCCUGUUAUUAUGUAUCCUUGAUUCAGUUACUGACUAUAAAGGCACAAACCACAGAUUCAUUCAAACACUUAUUAACUGCCUACUGUAUGCUAGAUCCUAGAAGGGCAAUAAUAAUGAUAGCUCACAUUUAUAUAGCAUAUAUUACAUAUAUCUGUAUCUAUAGAUCACUUUAUAUUAUCUUAUUUAAUACUCACAAAAACCCUGAAUGGUAGGUGUUAUUACUAUCCCCAUUUUAUAGGUGAAGAAACAGACAGAGAGAUUAAGUGACUUGGUCUCUUGGUGUCUAAGACAGUAUUUGAACCUGGGUCUUUCUGAUUCCAAGACCAGGACUCUCUAGUUUACACAAGAUCAUCCCUGCCCUCAUGGAUUUUAUAUUCCAGUAGGAAGAUUAGAAACAAAUACAAGUAUAGCACAUACUACAUGAUAAAUGGAGCAUUACAUGAGAGGUGUAAAGCACCCUGAGAAGGAAAACUUGGGAGAGCAUUACAGAACUGGGGAAGGGGAAAGGAUAAAGGAAAGUCAUCAUCUGAGUUGCUAUUAAUUGUUUGAGUGGAAGGGGCCUUAAUCCACCUCUCUCCUCUUUACAGACAAAGAACCUAAAUCCAAGAAGGACUUAUCAAAGGUCACACACACAGUCAGGUAACAGAAGUGGGAUUUGAACCCAGGUCUUUUGACUCCAAAUCCAUUGAUCUUUCUACUAUAUCACACUUCUUGCCUCACAGCAGAGUACUCGCCAAGUCAGAUUAGUGUGCACUACCAUGGAACAGACCAGACAAAUGAGGGAAGGAGUACAAUCUGGAGCUUAUGUGUAGCAACCAGUUUAGUGUCAAGACCUGAAGAAGAGUUAAAACUUCCUGGGACUUUGGGAAAUCUGAGAUUUCAUCAUAAAGUUCAACAACCAACAGUCCUAAGCAACCUAAUCUAGAAAAUAUGAAUUGCAAUGUGACCUGCUGGACCAGGAAUCAGAAAUCCUGAAUUCUAGUAAUGGCUCUGCUACUAACUUUCUGUGUCACCUUAAACAAGUCGUUUCAUCUUUCAGCCUCAGUUUUCUUAUCUGUAAAAAAGAAUUUUGCAGGAACAAGACUUGUUAAGUUGUAGUGGGAAUUCUUGAGAGGAGUCCAACUCCUCACGUACAUGUUGGUUUUUCAUAUUUAAAUGUUUCACUUGGUUUUGGUUUUUUGGAUUUCUUUGUUUGUUUGUUUGUUGUUGUUGUUUUGGGGGGAGUUUGAACAGGUGUCCUCUGAGGUCCUUUUCAACUCCAAGAUUUUAUAAUUCAUUGAUAGCUGUGAGGCCUUUGACCUCUCUUUAACUUCUCUGAGACUCAGUUUCUUCAUCUUUCAAAUCAAUAGAUGACCUUUAAAGUUCCUUCCUGGUCUAACUCUUAUGGUCAUAGGUGAUGCCACCAUAUGUAGAGUAUGUUCCCUCUUCUUAGAACUCUCAGCUUCUCUCAAAGCUCAUUUCAGGUGCCACUUCCCAUAUGAAGCCUAAUACCCCUGCCUUACAGGGGUUUUGUGAAGAGCAAAUGAGAGUAUAGAAAUGAAAACUCUUUGAAAAGUUAAAGCUUUGUACCAAUUAAAAUGGUAUUUCUAUUUGCCAAUGUUGCCGCAUGUUUCUGCAAGAGCACUAAAUAACA